This 743-nucleotide small RNA is filed under the name Pan troglodytes (chimpanzee). Its description in RNAcentral is "processed transcript". Lineage: Eukaryota; Metazoa; Chordata; Mammalia; Primates; Hominidae. The record is from RNAcentral.
CCAGCCGCCAUCUUGGUCUAGGAGGGAGCGCGCCGCACGCGGUGGCCGACAUGACGGCCAGGGGUCAGAGCCCCCUCGCGCCGCUGUUGGAGACUUUGGAAGACCCUUCUGCCUCCCAUGGAGGGCAGACUGACGCUUACCUGACUCUGACCAGUCGUAUGACUGGAGAAGAAGGAAAAGAAGUAAUUACAGAAAUUGAGAAAAAACUUCCUCGGCUGUACAAAGUUUUAAAGACUCACAUUUCCAGUCAAAACUCGGAGCUGAGUAGUGCUGCUCUACAAGCACUGGGGUUUUGCUUAUAUAAUCCCAAAAUUACCUCAGAAUUAUCAGAGGCAAAUGCUCUAGAAUUGCUUUCAAAAUUGAAUGAUACCAUUAAGAAUUCAGACAAAAAUGUACGUACUAGAGCACUUUGGGUGAUAUCUAAGCAGACAUUUCCCUCUGAAGUGGUUGGCAAAAUGGUAUCCAGUAUAAUUGAUUCAUUAGAAAUACUGUUUAACAAAGGAGAGACGCGUUCUGCUGUUGUUGAUUUUGAAGCAUUAAAUGUUAUCGUAAGGCUAAUUGAACAAGCCCCAAUUCAAAUGGGAGAAGAGGCAGUGAGGUGGGCAAAACUGGUCAUACCUUUAGUGGUUCAUUCAGCACAAAAGGUACAUUUGCGGGGAGCAACUGCUCUGGAGAUGGGAAUGCCAUUAUUGCUUCAGAAACAGCAAGAAAUAGCAUCUAUUACGGAGCAGCUUAUGACUACU